GUAAUGGGUGAAGGUCAGGUUGGUUGUUGGUUUGUUGGUUGGUUGUUAAGUGCAAUAAUCCUGUACUAAGCUCAAAAUUGCACAGGGCUAGAAUCUUCAAGGUCUAGCGCAGUGCAUGGAACAUGGCAAAUGCUUGAUAAAUCUUUGUUAAACAACCAAAUGGAUGAUCUUUGUUUUUUAUUCCUUCAUUCAAAUGAUAUGUGCCAAUGGAAUCCAAACCCUUGUUUAUUGAGCACCUACUAAGAGGAAGGCUGGUGAGCCCGAGGGAGAAGCAUUUCUUCCUGGUAAUAGGCAGAUGUGCUCCGUGCCUGUUUCCAAACCCCCUUAACACUCAGGAUUCAUGAAAAACCUGCCAGCUGCUUACUGGAGGCAACUGUGACUCUGCCUCAUUAGAUAUCAGGGAAAUGAGAGAGAAAAGCCUAGACUCUGGGGUUCCACCAGAUAGCUUCAGCAAGAAAAACACAUUUCCAUCUGCAAAAUCCCUUGAGCUCAGAGAAGAUUCAAGAGAGCUGAAUCUGGGAUUUUGGAGGCUCUUGGAAAAUCCCACCGAUUCUCUUGACUGAGGCAUAACUGUGGGGAACAGAUUGCUGGUCUCUUGCUGGAAUGUGGAUAUCUGGAGCUCCAGGGCCCGUUAUUGCACUGUGAGGAUGAGGAUCCCAUAGCACAGAUGAUGAGAAGACCUGGGUCUCCGGUUACCAUGCAAUUUAUCCCUAAAUGAUCACCCAAUUCAUCCAAGUCAGCCCUAAAUUACCUGCCUCUGGACUUGUCUUAUUUAAACCUCUCCUUCUCAGGCAAUGAGAAGUCUAUGAUAAAUCCAUUUGAAAAAUUCCUGCAUGUCCUUUUCUGAUUUCUGCUAUACAUGUUUCUUCUCUGUCAAGCAAGGCACCAGGAGGCCACAGAAAUAAAUGGUCUGAAUCCACAGGGAAAGAAAUUUCUAAAGCAAAAGGUAUCGAUGGGCUUGUUAGCUUGAAAGGAAUAAAGGGCUGACCUUUCAAAA
Ictidomys tridecemlineatus (thirteen-lined ground squirrel) is the source of this 997-nucleotide non-coding RNA. The record is from RefSeq and is a predicted model, not a curated record. Lineage: Eukaryota; Metazoa; Chordata; Mammalia; Rodentia; Sciuridae.